UCACUACUUGCGUAGGCAGUCUGGCUAGAGUCCCCACCUUGACAUGCUGGUAACUAACCACAGGGGUUGCGCUCGUUGCGCCACUUAAGGCAACACCUCACGGCACGAGCUGACGACAGCCAUGCAGCACCUUCGAUGGUGCCCCGAAGGGAAGCUCCGUUUCGGGAGCGGUCACCACCGAUUUAGCCCGGGUAAGGUUCUUCGCGUUGCAUCGAAUUAAGCCACAUGCUCCACCGCUUGUGCGGGCCCCCGUCAAUUCCUUUGAGUUUCAUUCUUGCGAACGUACUCCCCAGGUGGUAUGCUUACUGCGUUAACUGCGUCACUGAACCUUGCGGCCCAACAUCUAGUUCUCAUCGUUUACAGCGUGGACUAC
This 373-nucleotide unclassified non-coding RNA is filed under the name uncultured Bacteroidota bacterium. RNAcentral's name for it is "uncultured Bacteroidetes bacterium contains 16S-23S intergenic spacer region". The record is from RNAcentral. Lineage: Bacteria; Pseudomonadati; Bacteroidota.